Molecule: ribosomal RNA, 500 nt
Filed under: uncultured Glomeromycotina
Lineage: Eukaryota; Fungi; Glomeromycota
Description: partial small subunit ribosomal RNA
Rfam family: Eukaryotic small subunit ribosomal RNA
Source: RNAcentral
CCAAUAGCGUAUAUUAAAGUUGUUGCAGUUAAAAAGCUCGUAGUUGAAUUUCGGGAUCAAUCUGUUGGUCGUGCCUUUGGUACGUACUAGCUUAUUGAUUUCUCCCUUCUGACGAACCAUGAUGUCAUUAAUUUGGUGUCAUGGGAAAUCAGGACUGUUACUUUGAAAAAAUUAGAGUGUUUAAAGCAGGCUCACGCUUGAAUACAUUAGCAUGGAAUAAUGAAAUAGGACGUUUUGAUUCUAUUUUGUUGGUUUCUAGGAUCGACGUAAUGAUUAAUAGGGAUAGUUGGGGGCAUUAGUAUUCAAUUGUCAGAGGUGAAAUUCUUGGAUUUAUUGAAGACUAACUAUUGCGAAAGCAUUUGCCAAGGAUGUUUUCAUUAAUCAAGAACGAAAGUUAGGGGAUCGAAGACGAUCAGAUACCGUCGUAGUCUUAACCAUAAACUAUGCCGACUAGGGAUCGGAUGAUGUUAAUUUUUUAAUGACUCAUUCGGCGCCUUACG